RNAcentral lists this long non-coding RNA (1481 nucleotides) under Mus musculus (house mouse). RNAcentral's name for it is "long non-coding RNA chr5:118718628-118720109". Lineage: Eukaryota; Metazoa; Chordata; Mammalia; Rodentia; Muridae. The record is from RNAcentral.
GUCAGUCAGAGGCCACGUGCAUGUGCUACCCACACCAGCGUAACUGCGUGCAGAGCUACCUCUCCCCGUGGGAUGUAGUAGGAGGGCUGGGGUAUCGAGGGUGGUGAUACGGUGGAGUGAGGUCUUGUAGGAGGGGAGGCUUGCUUCAACAGUGGUCUAAAGUAAGCGAGAUCAGCUAAUGACAUUUCUCAGGUAAGCACAUGUCUAACGUGGCCUUGGUAAAGCUGUGUCAUUUCCUUUGGAACAAACUAAGAUUGACAAGCAUCACCGGCCAGAGUCUCCCAUCUCCUGGCCAUUGCACACAGUCAAUGAAGGGGCUGUGGUUGUGUCUGCCACCAAGGCUCUUCAGGGAAAUCACUGACAAAAGGUGGUUGCUAACAAGGAGAGCUGGCUUUCUGAGUCUCUUCCAGUGUACAGUUUUGUUAGUGACCUUACUGUCAGCAUUAUUUCCUUUAAUUGCACACUGUGGAUGAGUAUCUGGCUAUGACUUGACUUCAUACACUGGUGGUCUCAUCACUUUUUAUCUUUAUCUUUGAACUAGAACAACUGAUUUUGAUUCCACAAAUCUAUAUCUUAAUCUUAGGAAUUCAGGAUUUUCUAUGAAUAAUAGUCUUGAAAUGUUAUAAACCGUGAAAAAAAUCUUUCUGGCUCAGUUUGAUUUAUCAUUUCUAAAAAUGUCUGGCUGAAAAAGACAUGACAUACAGAAUGUAAUAGCUUGUCCCCAUGUGGGUUCUCAUCUAUUAAAGAAAUAAUAAAGAUAGGUUCACCUUAAGUUGUGAAGAUAAGUCCACCUUAAGUGGAGAGAGACCUUGGAUUCUUCUACCUAGUUCUCAGUCUUACCAAGAGAUAGGCCUGCCACCCCUUGUCAUCAUUGUUUACAUUCUGCUAGACUAUAAAAGCCAGGCAGCCGGACAGGGCAGUGGUGGUAUGCCAUUAACCUCAGGACUCAGGAGGCAGAGGCCAGUGGAUUUCUGAGUUCCAAGACAGCCAGAACUACACAGAGAAACUCUUGUCUUGAAAAACUACACACAUGCACACAUACCCCAAAACAAACAAGUAUAAAAUUCAUGUAAAAUUUAAAACAACCCAAUUCUCAAAACACAAACUAAGGCGCCAUACAGCAUGUGCUAGUGCCAAUGGUCAGAUUUGUUUAAAUACUGUGUUUGAGUUUGAAAUGUGGAGGAACGCCUGGUGUCAUCUCCAGUGUUCUCACUGAAAAGCCUUUAUGAAGAUAAAGGUCGCUAGAGAAGAGAAGUAGCUCUAACCUCGGAGGUUGGAUGGAGAGAGAGUGUGCUGGGAGUAAAGGUCCCUAGAGAGCACGUGCUUUAAGUCAGCUCUGUCUCUCUGCCCCCGUGGAAUACAUUACCCAGCUGCUGUAAAACUGGCGCUACACUUGAAAGAGAGUGUCUUUAUAUAACGCAGUAAUAUGGGAAAUAAAUAAACUCCAAUAGAGACAUUCUCUAAAUGUUUUUAAAGUUGAU